Molecule: ribosomal RNA, 1036 nt
Filed under: Streptomyces sp. NCCP-1307
Lineage: Bacteria; Bacillati; Actinomycetota; Actinomycetes; Kitasatosporales; Streptomycetaceae
Description: bacterial SSU rRNA
Rfam family: Bacterial small subunit ribosomal RNA
Source: RNAcentral
ACCGGGCUGUUCUUACCAUGUCUCGUCGACGAUGAACCACUUCGGUGGGGAUUAGUGGCGAACGGGUGAGUAACACGUGGGCAAUCUGCCCUUCACUCUGGGACAAGCCCUGGAAACGGGGUCUAAUACCGGAUACCACUCUCACAGGCAUCUGUGGGGGUUGAAAGCUCCGGCGGUGAAGGAUGAGCCCGCGGCCUAUCAGCUUGUUGGUGAGGUAACGGCUCACCAAGGCGACGACGGGUAGCCGGCCUGAGAGGGCGACCGGCCACACUGGGACUGAGACACGGCCCAGACUCCUACGGGAGGCAGCAGUGGGGAAUAUUGCACAAUGGGCGAAAGCCUGAUGCAGCGACGCCGCGUGAGGGAUGACGGCCUUCGGGUUGUAAACCUCUUUCAGCAGGGAAGAAGCGAAAGUGACGGUACCUGCAGAAGAAGCGCCGGCUAACUACGUGCCAGCAGCCGCGGUAAUACGUAGGGCGCAAGCGUUGUCCGGAAUUAUUGGGCGUAAAGAGCUCGUAGGCGGCUUGUCACGUCGGGUGUGAAAGCCCGGGGCUUAACCCCGGGUCUGCAUUCGAUACGGGCUAGCUAGAGUGGGGUAGGGGAGAUCGGAAUUCCUGGUGUAGCGGUGAAAUGCGCAGAUAUCAGGAGGAACACCGGUGGCGAAGGCGGAUCUCUGGGCCAUUACUGACGCUGAGGAGCGAAAGCGUGGGGAGCGAACAGGAUUAGAUACCCUGGUAGUCCACGCCGUAAACGGUGGGAACUAGGUGUUGGCGACAUUUCACGUCGUCGGUGCCGCAGCUAACGCAUUAAGUUCCCCGCCUGGGGAGUACGGCCGCAAGGCUAAAACUCAAGGAAUUUGACGGGGGCCUGCACAAGCAGCGGAGCAUGUGGCUUAAUUCGACGCAACGCGAAGAAUCUUACUCAGGCUUGACAUACACCGGAAAACUCUGUAGACAGGGUCCCUCUUUGUGAUCGGUGUACAGUGUUGCAUGACUGUCGUCAGCUCGUGUCGUGAGAUGUUGGGUUAAGUUUCGGC